Molecule: ribosomal RNA, 500 nt
Filed under: uncultured bacterium
Lineage: Bacteria
Description: partial 16S ribosomal RNA
Rfam family: Bacterial small subunit ribosomal RNA
Source: RNAcentral
AUUGAACGCUGGCGGCAUGCCUUACACAUGCAAGUCGAACGGCAGCACGGACUUCGGUCUGGUGGCGAGUGGCGAACGGGUGAGUAAUGUAUCGGAACGUACCUGUCAGUGGGGGAUAACGUAGCGAAAGUUACGCUAAUACGGCAUAUUCUGUGAGCAGGAAAGAAGGGGAUCGCAAGACCUUGCGCUGAUUGAGCGGCCGAUAUCAGAUUAGCUAGUUGGUGGGGUAACGGCCUACCAAGGCAACGAUCUGUAGCGGGUCUGAGAGGAUGAUCCGCCACACUGGAACUGAGACACGGUCCAGACUCCUACGGGAGGCAGCAGUGGGGAAUUUUGGACAAUGGGGGCAACCCUGAUCCAGCCAUGCCGCGUGAGUGAAGAAGGCCUUCGGGUUGUAAAGCUCUUUCGGCCGGGAAGAAAUCGCAUCAGCUAAUACCUGGUGUGGAUGACGGUACCGGAAUAAGAAGCACCGGCUAACUACGUGCCAGCAGCCGCCGUAA